Long non-coding RNA from Syngnathus acus (greater pipefish), 1084 nucleotides. RefSeq lists it as uncharacterized. The transcript is spliced from 2 exons. Lineage: Eukaryota; Metazoa; Chordata; Actinopteri; Syngnathiformes; Syngnathidae. The record is from RefSeq and is a predicted model, not a curated record.
CCUCUCGCUGGGGCAGCCCGAGUCGGCGCCCUGCACCAGUUUCUCCACAGCCUGAGGACAAGCGCCACAAAACUCAAGUUUAGGGGCGACCCUCAGGCAGGAGCCAGGAAGUGGAAAAGAAAGCUGGGGGAAGGGAGGCGACUCGUUUCUUUCCACAUCUGAGAGCGGGACAUUGUUCGGAAGCACUGGUCCGUGACGCACUUUCCAAAAAGUUCAGCAAAGGCAGCAAUCCGAAUGUUUACAGUGUUUACCUUAUAGCAGAGCGUGGCUAAAUUGGAGGGGGACUCCUCUCGUAGAGCCCUGAUCUCGGCAGCUGGAACCAGUGCAAAGACAUCCUGGACUGUGGUGGUGCUGUCCGCCCAGAAUUGGUCCCAGAAGGCAUCAUCUGUGGCUUCCACCGGCUGUAAAACAUGCAUAAAUGUUCAAGAAAAAUGUAGAAAUCGAUGCGGCAUUGCUUGCAGUACAUCGGAAGCAUCAUUGUGUGAGUCUAUUGUGUCGCCUGCUCAGUGAGUGAUGACGACAAUGUAAACAGCAUGCACCUGCUGCCGCAUCCAUGUCAACACCAUGCAGCUUUGAUUUAGCCAUCAUUUUGUAAAAACAUUUUUUUUGGUAUGACAGCUAUGACAUAUGUGCAUCCUGCUAACGUGGCGUCUUUCCAUUUCGGCGACUGCGAUCACGAAGAAACGCCGAAUGAUUAUUUAACAUGGUUAAAUGCAGCAAGAGGACUGACUGCUGUGAACGCGCCGUCUGAUUAUCGUCGCUUACAUUUGCAACAAUAGGAUCUAACCUGCGUUUUGGUUGUCAGCUGAAUUACUGCUUUCCUGAAGCUCAGUUUUGAAUCGGUACUCCCCAUUGUUGAAUUUCUAUAUUUUAAUCAAUUAUAUAACAAGAGUGGCGCCGAUGCCGCUGAGGGUUCUUGUUAAUCUCCCCUCCGUCCUUUGGCUUGAGUCAUAGGAGAAAGGGGCGGGGUUCUGUUUCGCUGUGUUUUCACGCCAUUGGUUAUUCACUUCCUGGUUUUGACUGACGUCAAAAAGAGAAUUGUUUUGAGAUGUUCACUCAUUUGCAAUAAAUGUUAACGGCAGUA